This 426-nucleotide ribosomal RNA is filed under the name uncultured Caryophanaceae bacterium. Its description in RNAcentral is "bacterial SSU rRNA". It matches the Rfam family "Bacterial small subunit ribosomal RNA", at positions 356 to 774 of the family's 1533-position model. The record is from RNAcentral. Lineage: Bacteria; Bacillati; Bacillota; Bacilli; Caryophanales; Caryophanaceae.
GGGGAAUUUUGGACAAUGGGGGAAACCCUGAUCCAGCCAUCCCGCGUGUGCGAUGAAGGCCUUCGGGUUGUAAAGCACUUUUGGCAGGAAAGAAACGUCGCGGGCUAAUACCCCGCGGAACUGACGGUACCUGCAGAAUAAGCACCGGCUAACUACGUGCCAGCAGCCGCGGUAAUACGUAGGUGGCAAGCGUUGUCCGGAAUUAUUGGGCGUAAAGCGCGCGCAGGUGGUUUCUUAAGUCUGAUGUGAAAGCCCACGGCUUAACCGUGGAGGGUCAUUGGAAACUGGGAGACUUGAGUGCAGAAGAGGAAAGUGGAAUUCCAAGUGUAGCGGUGAAAUGCGUAGAGAUUUGGAGGAACACCAGUGGCGAAGGCGACUUUCUGGUCUGCAACUGACGCUGAGGCGCGAAAGCAUGGGGAGCAAACA